GGUUGACCAGCGGAUCCUGGAAAUUGGCGAGCUGGAACGGAUCGAAGAAGCCGCCCGGAUUGCCCGUCAGGAGACUGAAGAUGCGGGUCGAGCCGGACCAUUGCAGCCACAGAUAAGCCAACUCCUGAUAGUUGCUUUGCGUCGAAACGCCGCCGUUAUUGCCGAGAUAGAUGGUCGAGCGGCGCACCAGAUCGCCGCCGAAUUGAUGGCCCGGCGGCA
Molecule: non-coding RNA, 219 nt
Filed under: marine eukaryotic metagenome
Description: Ruegeria cis90 sRNA
Rfam family: Ruegeria cis90 sRNA
About the family: Cis-encoded.
Source: RNAcentral